UACCAGCACCCCGAGUGGUCGGGACGAUUAUUGGGCCUAAGGCAUCCGUAGCCGGUCAUGCAAGUCUUCCGUUAAAUCCAGCCGCUCAACGGUUGGGCUGCGGAGGAUACUACGUGGCUAGGAGGCGGGAGAGGCAAGCGGUACUCAGUGGGUAGGGGUAAAAUCCUUUGAUCCAUUGAAGACCACCAGUGGCGAAGGCGGCUUGCCAGAACGCGCUCGACGGUGAGGGAUGAAAGCUGGGGAGCAAACCGGG
RNAcentral lists this ribosomal RNA (253 nucleotides) under uncultured bacterium. Its description in RNAcentral is "partial 16S ribosomal RNA". It matches the Rfam family "Archaeal small subunit ribosomal RNA", at positions 474 to 728 of the family's 1478-position model. The record is from RNAcentral.